Long non-coding RNA from Colias croceus (clouded yellow), 4176 nucleotides. RefSeq lists it as uncharacterized. The transcript is spliced from 2 exons. The record is from RefSeq and is a predicted model, not a curated record. Lineage: Eukaryota; Metazoa; Arthropoda; Insecta; Lepidoptera; Pieridae.
CGCGCUGCCACUCGGCGGACGGCAGCGACGCAGAGGACGCGCUGGACGACCUGCCGCCCGACUCGGACGACGAGCCCGACGACGCGACGCCGCCGCCACCGCCGCCGCCGCAAGGCGCCGAGUAUAUCGCGCUCGUGAAGGAAGCAGUGCAGGCGCUAGCGACCCGAGCGGCCCGCGGGCGGAGCGCCCGGGCCGACUGAGUGUCGCUCACCCCGUGGCGCCUCACCGCGCGCACGCUCAACAUGUUCAACGUGUAGACUCGCACCGCACACCCCCACCCGUCGGGCACUAGCCGUAUACACUUACUUGUCGUGUACACGGGGUACUUGUCGUGUACACAGGGUACUUGCCGUGUACACGGGGUACUUGUCGUGUACACAGGGUACUUGUCGUGUACACGGGGUACUUGUCGUAUACACAGGGCACUUGUCAUAUAAUAGUUGCGGAUAUCCGACGGGUACAUGUCGUAUACUAGUAACGGACCCGUCGAACAGUCGCACAACACUAGUUGCACACGCCUCCCUACCCGCCGUAUUCUGUGCCAGUGUACCCUAAUCUAAAGCUGUGCUUACACUGUGUUGUUGUUUGCGUAGUCUGCACGUAAUUCGAACUUUGGACACUUAACGUUCGUUAGUGUGUACGUUUGAAGAACAUUAUUCGCGAGUUUACGUGUGUUUGGAGACGAUUGAUGUUACUGUCGUGAUUAAAAGACUAAUAAAACUGUGUAAUAAAAACCCUCAAGGGCGAAAGCUUGUGAAUAAUUCACAAUACCUAAUAUAUUGUCAUGUCAAUGAUGCUAAUAUGAGAAUGGCAAAACCACCAUAGAACCACGUAAACGGAGUGUUCCUCCUAAUAUAAAAUAUAAUAAUUUUAAAAAUCGUUCGUUAUUGCUCUCGCUUUCUUAUGUAACAUCUGUACAUUCACUGAAACGUUUUAUGAAAACUUUCACAUUUCUUCUAAUAUCUACUAUAGAUAGCAAGAUAAUAUCGAACGAUUAUGAAACUGCGAUCUUAUUCGUACAUUUUAAUGUAGCUGCGUAAUACUUCCAGUGGGAAUUUAUUAUAACGUAAAAUAUGAAGUGCGGAACGUGGACAUUGUCGAUAUAACGAGUCCAAUUUUAUCUCGUAGUUUUAGUCUGAAAUUUAAUGUAUCUUAUUAUAAUGCAAGGUGUGUUUAAUUUAUAUCUUUAUUGAUAUCAAUUUGGCCAUUCUAAAAUACAAACUCCUUUAAUUGGAGUCUGCAUUUUAGAAUAAAGUCAAUGUUACACGAACUUGAGUUUGUUAUUAUCUUCGUAUGUGUGAAGAGUUCUCGUGUAUUUCGCAUUAAAACUUAGAUACGUGCUAUUAUCGGCUAGUGGAGCGAUUUUAUUGUUUAUUACAUAUGUAUAUUUAUCACAAUUUUUAUUGAACUAAGUAAGUUAAAGAGUGUUGAGUGUUGUUUAGAUGGCGCUUUAUGUGUUGCUUAAAUUAAUAUUGCGUCUAUUCUGUUGAACGUAUUUGCUUGAAUGAAAUAAUUGUUUUUGUAUAGAUUUUUGUAAAAUUUAAUUUUGUACAUAAUAAUGUACAAUUGGUGUAAAUGUAUGCUACAUUCCAUAACCCACAUCACAAUAUGUGUUUAUUUAGCCGAAACGUGACAAUGUUUGCGUUUUGACUAAAUUAGGCCAUAUAUAUGUAAUUGAUUUUGUCUUAAAUCUAUGUUUAUUGCGAAAGAAACGUAUUAAAAUACGCCAAAAUUAUUCUACAAUAGUUUCAGUUGUUUAAUGCUUAAAGUCCAUUUUCGCGUGCAUUGAUCUGUGAGUGAUGCGUAUUAAAUGAUGCGUCAAGAAACACGCAAUGCACACGAAAGUCAACUUUAACGUACCUUAUACCUUAUUAUAAAUAGGCAUACAGGUAAAAAUAAAAAUUAUGGCUAUGCAUCAUUAUUAGUUUUUUAGUGAUAACUUAUUUAUGAAUAACUAAUUAUGUUUAAUUUCGCAAUAACCAUUCUUCUUUUCAAUUUUUCGUACAGUCUUUUCUUAAUUUGACCGUCAGAAACGGCUGGUAAUUAUUUAUAAGAGACUGUAGUUACUAAUUUAUAUUUUUUUUCUAUUUUAGAUUUAGAUAUUUCGCAUUCAAUCAAAAUUUAAUAUAAAAAUGUUUCGAUGUACCUAAUUUAAAUUUUACGUUUUUAAGACUGUUUUGGUUUUAAGUUUUAGGUUGUAUAUUAUAUGAGAUCGUGUUUGUAGAAAUAGUUUGAUAAAUUUAAUCCUUAAAUAUUGUAAUGCUUAAAAACAGUUGUAGUAUUUUUAAUUAUUUAGUUUCAAAUAACUUUUCUAAGAAAAACAUAUUUUUCUUGAUAGGUCCUGUGUAGGAAUCUCGUAGUUUUCAUAUAUUAUUAUUUUUUCGUCAAUAAACUAGUUGGUUAAUUAUAAACACGUACACCGUAAUAACACGUCAGGAAGCGUGGAUUCGUUAUCUGUUUACUGAAGUCGGUAAAGUAUUGGUAGAGGUUGCUCUUAAGCUAUUUGGUUUUCGCAAAUUGCUUCGUCAAAAUUGUGUUACGGCUGUGAAUGAUUUCCUAGUUUAAGUGUGUGUGACCUAAGUAGAAUGUUAAAUUGCCCGCUUAGAUAAUCCCAGUACUAAUGAAUGUAUGAUAAUUUUAUACCUAUCGUAAGUUUUACACCCGUCCAAACACCUUAAUUCAUUUAAACCAUCGCGAUUUUAACUUAGGCCAGUACCAACGUAUAGGGUAUAAUAUAAUAUGAUAACAUUUUGACGUAAUUGUCGUUGUAAACUCGUAAAUUCGUUGUUAUCGAUGUGAAAAACAAUUAUAGGUGAAUUAAAUAAUAAGUAAUUUAAGCCGCUGGCAGUGCAUGUAGCAGUAUCUGUUUUCAUUAUUCGAUGGUUUAAAAAUCGGUAUUAAAAUAGAUCCAUAUUUGAUUUGAUUAAAGUUUUACACGUUUUUAAUUCGUUUCAAUAAUUAACAUGGUAUUUUUGUAUCGAUAUUUAAAAAAUAUUAAGUGAAGUGAUAGGAAUAGUUGUCUGCGUGUCGCUAUCACGUAUUCAGAAAAUCGCGUUUGACAUUUUUGUACAUAGCUCAAAACGAGCAUAUGUUUUGUACAACAGUGUUCGCAUUACAUCUACCGCUUUAUUAUAUCAUAAAGAUUUGAUAUCAAUAACCUUUCGUCAUUAGUAUUAGCUGUGUGCGCUGCUCUUCUGUUUUUCUGUAUCGAUCUUAUAAAAGAUUCGUAUUUAUGGUAAAAAUUACACUGCCGAGUUAUAAUACCAAUAUAUUUCUUUUUAUAGUGAUAAUAACAGACCAUACAAUUUUAUAUCGCGCAUUCUAAAAUUGUAUGGUCUGUUACUUUAUAUAACGCACUUAGGGGUGUCAAUGUAUUGUCUUUGUAGAAAAUCAGGAUGGUUCUGAUAGAUCAAUGAAACUUAAAAUGACAUCUUUUCUCCUUCAUAAAUGCAGAGAAGGUGUCAUAUUUUGCUUUCUUUAAUAAAAAUAGUAAAAAUACAGUACUUGAUGAUAUAAGGCUUGCGUUUACUGAAUCUAAACAGUGUAGCGAUGAAUGUAUGAAAAUGAAAGUUAGGGUCGCGCAAUUUUAAAGUCAUCUAAAAGCGCUUAAUUUCAUCUGCUAUGGAAUCAGUCUGCGUGAAGCCUUAUCAUUUCCGGCAUUAGAUAGCGGAUAGCAUUUUUUAACAAUCCAUAAGUAAUUAGGGAUCAUAUGAAGCAAUAUUAGUCGGUUUUAAAUCUUUAUCUACACGUAUUUGCUGUUAAAUAGUAAGCAUUUGAAUAUUUUGGAUUGUUAGAGUCACUGGUCGAUUUUCUAAAAGGGUUAUGAUGUAAUGUGGUGCUAACAAUCAGAGUCGAGUGGACGGUUAAUGAGACAAAAUGUAUAUUUGAUUUUGUCCUGAUUUUAGAGCUUAUUAAUAUAUAUCUAACAUUACUAUAGCUACUGUAAUUAUCUUUAUUUUAAGAUUUAAUAUUAAUUUUCACACGAAUUGUGCCGCAACAUUUAAGCUUUUCAUAGUAAGUAUUUGCGGAAUAUGACCUUGUAUAAUCGUUUAUGUAUUAUACUUAGUGAUUUGUAAUAAAAGUUCAAUUGAAUAAAACUGUGUUAUUAUAAUUCAUUUGUAAAAAUUGAAAAUACUGUAAAUCGGACUGGAAAGCCAAAGUAAACAGUAUUUUAUA